AGUGAUCCUAGUUCUAUUUAAAAAUGAAAAAUAUAGUUUAUCAAUGGUAUUUUAAAUGUUAUUCAUCUUAAUAUGAUCCUUUGAAGGCUACACAUUCCAAUAUCCAAGCUUUAAAGUAGUUUGUAUACACCCAACAUGCAAACCAUGACUUUAAUCAUUUCCUCACCAGAACUUCAAUUAUGCCAAGCACUUUUUAAUUAUCCUGUGGCCCACAAGUCUAUUCUUAGUAAAAGUCUGAUUUUAUGGAGGCAGUCUUCUCCUCUGUGGCAAAAAUCAACUCACCACUUAGCAACUCCACCCA
RNAcentral lists this long non-coding RNA (301 nucleotides) under Homo sapiens (human). RNAcentral describes it as "HSALNT0009922". The record is from RNAcentral. Lineage: Eukaryota; Metazoa; Chordata; Mammalia; Primates; Hominidae.